This 77-nucleotide transfer RNA is filed under the name Hemiselmis andersenii. Lineage: Eukaryota; Cryptophyceae; Cryptomonadales; Hemiselmidaceae. The record is from RNAcentral.
UUAGGCCUUUUAUCAAAAGAACGGCUGCUGAGGGCACAACUUCAACUUCAGUUUGUCUAUUUUGAACCUUUAAUUUG